This 995-nucleotide ribosomal RNA is filed under the name uncultured bacterium. RNAcentral describes it as "bacterial SSU rRNA". It matches the Rfam family "Bacterial small subunit ribosomal RNA", at positions 8 to 1012 of the family's 1533-position model. The record is from RNAcentral.
AGAGUUUGAUCAUGGCUCAGGACGAACGCUGGCGGCGUGCUUAACACAUGCAAGUCGAACGAUGAAGCUGGAGCUUGCUCCAGUGGAUUAGUGGCGAACGGGUGAGUAACACGUGAGCAAUCUGCCCUUGACUCUGGGAUAACUGCGGGAAACUGUAGCUAAUACCGGAUACGACACCUUGGGGCAUCCCAGGGUGUGGAAAGAAUUUCGGUCAAGGAUGAGCUCGCGGCCUAUCAGCUAGUUGGUGAGGUAAUGGCUCACCAAGGCGACGACGGGUAGCCGGCCUGAGAGGGUGACCGGCCACACUGGAACUGAGAUACGGUCCAGACUCCUACGGGAGGCAGCAGUGGGGAAUAUUGCACAAUGGGCGCAAGCCUGAUGCAGCAACGCCGCGUGAGGGAUGAAGGCCUUCGGGUUGUAAACCUCUUUUAGCAGGGAAGAAGCGAAAGUGACGGUACCUGCAGAAAAAGCACCGGCUAACUACGUGCCAGCAGCCGCGGUAAUACGUAGGGUGCAAGCGUUGUCCGGAAUUAUUGGGCGUAAAGAGCUCGUAGGCGGUUUGUCGCGUCUGCUGUGAAAAUCCAAGGCUCAACCUUGGACCUGCAGUGGGUACGGGCAGACUAGAGUGCGGUAGGGGAGAUGGGAAUUCCUGGUGUAGCGGUGGAAUGCGCAGAUAUCAGGAGGAACACCAAUGGCGAAGGCACAUCUCUGGGCCGUAACUGACGCUGAGGAGCGAAAGCGUGGGGAGCGAACAGGAUUAGAUACCCUGGUAGUCCACGCCGUAAACGGUGGGUGCUAGUUGUGGGCCACAUUCCACGUGGUCCGUGACGAAGUUAACACAUUAAGCACCCCGCCUGGGGAGUACGGUCGCAAGACUAAAACUCAAAGGAAUUGACGGGGGCCCGCACAAGCGGCGGAGCAUGCGGAUUAAUUCGAUGCAACGCGAAGAACCUUACCAAGGCUUGACAUAUAGAGGAAACGUGCAGAAAUGUACG